Long non-coding RNA from Callithrix jacchus (white-tufted-ear marmoset), 1798 nucleotides. The record is from Ensembl. Lineage: Eukaryota; Metazoa; Chordata; Mammalia; Primates; Cebidae.
AAAGUUUGAUGGGAAUUCCUGAUUUCAAAUUUAUUACCUAAGAAUGUCCAUUUGCUUUCAGAAUGUGCUUUUUAGCAGCCUCAACAACAGUUAUCUGGAAGAAAAUGUGGUCUCUGUGAGGGCAAGGAUUCAACAUUUUUUCUAAAAGUUCCAUGAUCUUGGAUUUAAAAUGAAAACAGUUUUGGAGCCUGGGAAGUCCAGUAUCAAGAUGCCUGCAUUUGGUGAGGAUCUUCAUGCUGAUUAUUCCAUGUUGAAAAGCAGAAUGGCAAGAGAGUGCAAGAGCAAGCAGGAAGAUAUCUGAACUCACCUUUUUAUUAGGAACUCACUCCCAUGGUAAGUAACCAACUCUAUUGAUAAUACCAUUAAUCCACUGAUGAGGACAGACCCUCUCGUGAUCUAAUUACUAAUUGAAUUACUUGACACUGUUGCAUUGGGAAUUAAAUGUCCAACACAUCAGUUUGGGGGGACACAUUCAAACCAUAGCAAUGACUGAAUAGUUUUCAGCAUGCUACCAUCCCCAAUGAUCUAAAUCAUAAAAGGGAUAAAAAAGGUUUAGAUCUUUCUAAGAUAAAUGAAAUCCAUUCCAGAAGCUCCUGGAUGAUUUCCUGAACACCAUAAUCUUCCAGAAUUGCUUAAUAAAAUCUCAUCGAAAUCAAUCAAGGUUGAGAAGAAUGGAAUUGUCAUGGUAUUCAGUAAUGAAGAUUCUCCCUCUAGCUGGGUCUAAGGGGAGCUCAUCUUUCUGACACAGGUGGCUACUAAUGUGGACUAAAUCUGUAGUUAGAUUAGUAAAGAAAAAUUGGAAAAGAAUGGCUAGCUGUUCAGUGACCAACAGUGCCUGCCACAGAUCAUAAUAACCUUAUUUCAAAUGAAUCAUAAAUCAAUACCAAGAGGAAUGCGAUGAGAGAAAAAAAUAGAUAAGUAUAGUGGUUUUAUUAUGAAGUCCUGGGGAAGAUUUUGGUACUGUUUUCUGUUUCUGGAAAUGUAAUCUAUUUUUUUUACUUCUAUUUCUUCCAAUAAUUAAUAUUUUUGCAAAAUUAAUAGUCAAUUAUAUAUAGUAAAACUGAGUAUUUGAAAGAAAAUAUUUUAAUCAUGGAAUACUGGAGAAUAUAUAGAGAAAAACAAAAUAAUGCUUUUCAGCAUUUUUUCCAACAGGCAAGGCAUAUACUUAAGCACCCUUAACUCAGAUAAAGAGAGAAUAAGAUAAUGCUAAAACAGUGGGAAAAUUAAUAGUUUUUGUAAUAUCAUAAAAGAAACUAUAAUUAGGCCAUACCCAAAUGCUAUUCUUAAAAUUUUAUCAAUAUACAUAAAGUUUCAAAAUUUAAAAUUAACAGUAUCACUAAGAAGUUCAAAAUUAAUAUAUUACUACUAUGUUAUUAUUAAGAAAUCUUGCUUGUUUUAAUUUAAAGGGUAACUUUUAUGUUCAGAAGCUUUAGAACACAAAAUAGUAAACAACUUUAAAAAUAGAAGAGAAAUACUGUAGCUAAUAGUUUUUGCUUAAGAAUUCUAACAGUUAUACUUUGGAAUUAAAAAAAAAAAAUGAGCAGGUUAUUCAGUUAACUGGAAAGUACCUCCAUGACAUCAGAUAGAUACUGACAUCCAAUAUUAAUGUGGCAGAAAUUUAGCUUAGCUUACAAACAGACCUGGCUCAUUGUAACCUCCUGAAAUCAUCCAGAGGGUAACCUUCAGGCUAGUAGAUAUGACCCUGGGGACAUAAUUGAGGUGUCUUUGUUUGAAAAACAUAUAAUUGAGUUGGCUCAUUUUGAAACCCCUUAGAGUUGACAGCUGUAGUAAAUUUCCC